Molecule: transfer RNA, 63 nt
Filed under: Staphylinidae sp. BMNH 1274246
Lineage: Eukaryota; Metazoa; Arthropoda; Insecta; Coleoptera; Staphylinidae
Description: tRNA-Cys
Source: RNAcentral
AGUCUUAUAUUCAAAAUAUGAUAUUAAAUUGCAAAUUUAGAGGUGAAUAAUAUUCUAAGGCUU